CUGUACAGUUCAGAGUUUGAUCCUGGCUCAGGAUUAACGCUGGCGGCGUGCCUAACACAUGCAAGUCGAGCGAGGAAUAGUGAAGAGAUUCUUCGGAUGAACAGAUCUAUGGACAGCGGCGGACGGGUGAGUAACGCGUGGGCAACCUGCCCCUUUCCGGAGGAUAGCCAAGGGAAACUUUGAAUAAUACUCCAUAAAGCAGAGAUGUCGCAUGGCAAUUCUGCCAAAGAUUUAUCGGAGAGGGAUGGGCCCGCGUCUGAUUAGCCAGUUGGUGAGGCAGCGGCUCACCAAAGCGACGAUCGGUAGCCGGCCUGAGAGGGUGAACGGCCACAUUGGAACUGAGACACGGUCCAG
RNAcentral lists this ribosomal RNA (354 nucleotides) under uncultured bacterium. RNAcentral's name for it is "bacterial SSU rRNA". It matches the Rfam family "Bacterial small subunit ribosomal RNA", at positions 1 to 334 of the family's 1533-position model. The record is from RNAcentral.